RNAcentral lists this unclassified non-coding RNA (671 nucleotides) under Hevea brasiliensis (rubber tree). Lineage: Eukaryota; Viridiplantae; Streptophyta; Magnoliopsida; Malpighiales; Euphorbiaceae. The record is from RNAcentral.
UAUCCUGUUCCAAUGUAAAAUCCUAAGACAAAAAAGUGAAAAUUAAAAAAAAAAUUAUGCACUUAAAAAAAUAAUAAUAAGGAAAGCCACGGCAAUCAAAAUUAAAUAGCAUCUGCUGCAUCAAAAGGUACACAAACAACUGACGAACUUUUACAAUUUUAAAACCCUAAUUUGCAACUUUAAGAGCUCAUUAAAAGAAAAAAAGGCAAAUAAUCAGAAACCAGAAACAUAGGGAAAAUGAAAAAUCAGCAAAGCUCAUAGAAUUCCAAGAAAGAAAAAGAAAUAAAGAGACCCAUAAAAUCUACUAAAAGGUGAACAUUUAUAGUGUCCUCAUCAAGAAAAAUACCUGCUAUGAUCCUAGAUAUUUCUGCAACCAACAUAAGAGGAUUCCGAAUUAAACAAUACGUAUUUGCUAUAUUAGCCACAGUCAAGUGCAUUCUCUAAUUCUCAGCAUUGCUCCCAUUAUCCCCCACAAUCUUUGUAUGAUGGCAAUUUCACAUAAUUAUAUAUAUUUUUUUGGCAAUCACAGUUAACACCACAAUUCAACAGCAAACAACGCAUAAACCCAAACUUUAACCCACAUAUAUAAAUAUGAUUAGCACAACGGGUUGAGCUUUAGAUUUUUUUAAGGCAAAAAUUUGGAUAUACCUUGUGAUAGAGCGCUUUCCAGG